UUGAACGCUGGCGGCAUGCUCUACACAUGCAAGUCGAACGGUAACAGGCCGCAAGGUGCUGACGAGUGGCGAACGGGUGAGUAAUGCAUCGGAACGUGCCCAGUCGUGGGGGAUAACUACUCGAAAGAGUAGCUAAUACCGCAUACGAUCUAUGGAUGAAAGCGGGGGACCGUAAGGCCUCGCGCGAUUGGAGCGGCCGAUGUCAGAUUAGGUAGUUGGUGGGGUAAAGGCUCACCAAGCCAACGAUCUGUAGCUGGUCUGAGAGGACGACCAGCCACACUGGGACUGAGACACGGCCCAGACUCCUACGGGAGGCAGCAGUGGGGAAUUUUGGACAAUGGGCGCAAGCCUGAUCCAGCAAUGCCGCGUGCAGGAAGAAGGCCUUCGGGUUGUAAACUGCUUUUGUACGGAACGAAACGGCUCUGGUUAAUACCCGGGGCUAAUGACGGUACCGUAAGAAUAAGCACCGGCUAACUACGUG
Molecule: ribosomal RNA, 481 nt
Filed under: uncultured bacterium
Lineage: Bacteria
Description: partial 16S ribosomal RNA
Rfam family: Bacterial small subunit ribosomal RNA
Source: RNAcentral